UACGGAGGAUCCAAGCGUUAUCCGGAAUCAUUGGGUUUAAAGGGUCCGGUAGGUGGUUUGGUAAGUCAGUGGUGAAAAGCCCAUCGCUCAACAGGUGGAACGGCCAUUGAUACUGCCAGACUUGAAUUAUUAGGAAGUAACUAGAAUAUGUAGUGUAGCGGUGAAAUGCUUAGAGAUUACAAUGGAAUACCAAUUGCGAAGGCAGGUUACUACUAAUGGAAUUGACGCUGAUGGACGAAAGCGUGGGUAGCGAACAGG
RNAcentral lists this ribosomal RNA (258 nucleotides) under uncultured bacterium. Its description in RNAcentral is "partial 16S ribosomal RNA". It matches the Rfam family "Bacterial small subunit ribosomal RNA", at positions 524 to 776 of the family's 1533-position model. The record is from RNAcentral.